This is a non-coding RNA of Paramuricea clavata, 1034 nucleotides long. NCBI's taxonomy places the organism in Eukaryota, Metazoa, Cnidaria, Anthozoa, Malacalcyonacea, Plexauridae. The record is from the annotation of a GenBank genome assembly.
UGUAAGUGUAAAGUUUGGCUACAAUUCUGGUCAUACUGACUAUGUUAAAGCAGGUACUAUAUUUAUGGACUUGUUAGUUCUGUUUGGCGUUUUUAAUCAAGUCCUGAAAUCAUUGCCUUGAGUGUGGGAACAACAUGACUUCCCAUGUUGACUUGAAAAAGAAGAAUAGCUUCUCCCAUUACAUUGUCAUGCAAUGUUAUAACAUGGAGUGUGAAUGAAAAUACUGCUUCCAUACUUCACAAAAACAAGGGGCCAUCAUAUGAAGUUAAUAUGGGAGCAGUCCUUGGCCUCCUGGCAUUCAGAGAAAUUGGUCGAGGCCAUAAUACUAUGGUAACAUUCACCAAAGUAUGCCAAAGUCAUGAACAUGCCAUCACGGGAUCACCAUAAUCCAGCUGGAACUUUACAAAAAUGCUAAACAAGCUGCUGCCUGUUGUGAAACAGUUGGCAAAUGACAGCAUGCUAAACAAUGUCAUGAUUGUUAAAGAGACUUGUGGAAAUGACAAAGGCGAAUGUGGAAUUUCCCUUGAUGGAACUUGGCUUUGACAAGACCAUGUGUCGCAAAAUGGUGUUGUUUCCGCCAUCAUUAGAUACCAAGAAAUGCCUCAAUGAACAUGAAAUACUGUCAGAUAAAUGUCAGAAAUGGCAAAAGAAAGAAAACAACCCAAAAUACCAAGAGUGGAAAGCUAGUUGCCACUGUAAGAUCAACCGGCCAUGCUGGACAUGCCAAUAGUAUAUGAUGAAUCACAAAUUACAUUCUCACCAAAAGAAAGCAGAGAAACAAUUAAAGGUAGAUGAAAAACAAUAGGGCAUCUGAGAAAAAAGUAUAUAGAUGAGGCUGAAGAGAAAGUAGGUGUUGUGUAUGAAGUAGGGGGCUUCUGAAGCUUUAUAAGGUACAUUAACUGUAAAUGAAAUUUUUAAAGUGGAUUUUCUCUUUUUGGCAAUUUGACAUGUGUCAGCAAUACCUUGAAACAUGUAAUUUUCUAGGUUUUUAUUAUAGAAGCUUGAUACUUUGCACAUCUAUAGUCUGUACCAUU